Long non-coding RNA from Mauremys mutica (yellowpond turtle), 371 nucleotides. RefSeq lists it as uncharacterized. Lineage: Eukaryota; Metazoa; Chordata; Testudines; Geoemydidae. The record is from RefSeq and is a predicted model, not a curated record. The transcript is spliced from 3 exons.
GACUACACGGCAGUAGCAUGCAGAAGGAAGAGCCAGACUGCGAGGGAAAGCAUUCUUGUUCAAAAGAGGUUUCCGUUUCACGGCAGAUGCGUUAAUUUGGGCCUAGCACCUGUUUGUGAAUUCACACGCAGCACAGGAUCAAAGAAAAGCUCAACCCGUCUGGAGGGCUCUGCUUGCCAGUGGCUAAACAGAACCUUGCCACUUGAAAUAGCCAGAAGUGGACAGUUCAGAGUGCCAACAAGAAAGGAGUCCAGUCGAGCGCCAAACUUACCACUGUUCUACACAACCUGGCUUCUGUGUCUUUGGCCUGCGGCUGUUAGCAGCUAUAUCUGUACAUUAUUAGCAACGCAGGGGCCAAGUUAACAAAUCUA